This is a long non-coding RNA of Acinonyx jubatus (cheetah), 4245 nucleotides long. RefSeq lists it as uncharacterized. The record is from RefSeq and is a predicted model, not a curated record. Lineage: Eukaryota; Metazoa; Chordata; Mammalia; Carnivora; Felidae. The transcript has 3 exons.
AAUGUUUCUUAAUGUUUAUUUUAUUUAUUUUGAGAGAGAGAGAGAGAGAGCAGGGCAGGGGCAGGGACAGAGGGAGAGUGUGUGGGCAGGGUAGGGGCAGGGAGGGAGAGAGAAUCCCAAGCAGGCUCUGCCCCAUCAGCACAGAGCCGGACGUGGGUGUGUGUGGGUGUCUUCAGAGCGUGACCCAGGCUCCUCGGGCAGGUGCCCAGGGCCCAGCCGCUCAGCAGACACGCGACAGGCCACAUGGGGCACCGUCCUUGGCGCACGGGCCCUGCCACGGCCCCGCCUCCCCUGUGCACACACCUGUGCGUCCUGCCAGCAGCCUGACUCACGCACGUGGCAGAUGCUCCACGGAUACGUGUGCCAAGAUCUCGUUUCAGGGUCAAUAGUGCCUCCCUCACCGCCCCCCCCCAGCCUCUUCCGGGGGCCCCACGUCAGUCCCAGCCACGAAGGCAGGUGAGGGAGACCCACAAGAGUGGCGCGCGUCCCCAGGUGGCCCCGCGCCGCGCAGCAGGCACAGGGCGGGCAGGGCCCGCUCCUGGAAGCAGACAGUCGGCCUCCUUCCCACGGGUGAGGCGUGGGCACACCUCCCGCGGUUACCGUUGGGGUCGUGCUCGCCUGGCCCCAAGAGCAGGAUCUGGCGCCCUGGGUACCGUGGACGGAACUCAGGGAACGACCCCCUCGGGGACCACUGGGCUUCUCGUCAACAUUGUAGCCGUGCCCAGGAGUGGGGGCCGUGUCCUGGGGCCAGCCCUCACCCAACCCCUCCGCCCACGGUGCCUCCAGAGCUCCCAGAAGAGGGGGGCUCCCCCAGAGGGGGUGCUGGCCAGGUGCCAUCAGCAGGACAGUGAAAGCCCCGGUCCCGAAGGCAGCUGGAGGAGCACAGGCCGGAAUUAAGGAGCCGACACCCCUACGGCACCGGGCCGGUGCCGGCAGAGUCGGCCGUGCUCACUAGAACGUCGGUGCUGUGGUCGUGAUGGCUACACACACCAGCCUCCCGGCCAGGGCGCGCCACACCCACACGUGCAGGCCGCAGUGUGCGGACGCAGGCUCGCGGGGCUGGGGGAGGUGCAGGGGGAAGGCUGGAAGGGCCACUGGCAGCCCAGGCCCGCCUUGCCGCCCGGGUCACCUGCCCCUGGGCUGGGUGCCCACGGUCACAGCCCACGUUCUACAAGAUGCGGCAACAGCUGAGGCCAGGUGGCCACAGCACCUUUGUGGUGACAACCACACUAAUCAGCAGGUGUCAGGUGUCGUCUGACGUGCUCCAGGCCUGCGGUCCCGCCCACGGAGAGCGGACAUUCCACUCGUUUUGGAAUCGGAAAGCAAACUUCCCGUCAAGCUCACAGUGUGCAGUCUGAGCCUUAGGCUGCGCUUCGAACAGAACUGAAGCAAGUGAUUCCGGGCCGGAAAGCUCUUUGGGGCGCCACCUUCUUAAGAAUCCUGGGCCCCCGAAGCAAACGUGACACCCCCACGAGCCACUCGCUAAACAGAGGCAGCACCUGUACCGCGGCAGACAAAUCCGUGCUGUACGAGCACCCCCACCCGGCUCCUGAGCCCCCCUGCGCCCUCUGAAACCUCCGCCGGAAUUAAGUCACGGAGCCCUCCCGUCUCCCCUCCACCGUUCCCAGGAGCACCAGCCACAUCAGCUACAAGGGUGACCACGCAAGGAUCCAUUUAAGUGAAGAUGGUCCGUGCCACCCGUGAGCUCCCUCGAGAAGCACAAAUGGCUUGCAAAGGCCUUGGUGCUGGGGAGGUUAUCACAGACCAGCGCGUUCCAGAAACUUCAAGAAAGGCUGUGGUCCAGGUGUCAUGAUGCCUGGAGGGGCCGUGUUCUCUGUGCGUCCCUCUUUUCCCCCCUCUUACAAGGACACCAGUCGGAUUGGGCCAGGGCCCACCUGCUGCGGCGCGACCUCAUCGUCACUAAUUGUAUCUGCCACCACCCUCUUUCCAACUAACGGCACAUGCGGAGGUCCUGGGGGUUCGGACGUGAACAAGGCUCUAUUCGGAGAAGGUUCACUAUUGGACCCCUAACCUACGCCCGAAGCAACCGCCAUCCCUCCUCUAAUUCUGCUUCUCGUGACCACGGACUGUCCUGGCCAGGACAAGAGCACCGGGGAACACAAGAAGAGCUGCCUCCCCAGGGUGUUGGCUUCGUCUCUCUUUUCAGGCCCAAAGUGGGAGCUGGCAACCGUAGGAGCAGGAACUGGGUGCGGUGGUUCCGUCUAGAAGAAUUGGCGGUAUUUUCUAGGAACAGAUCUAGCCUCUGGCCCUGCUGAGCUGGGAGAUGAUCUGGGAGAGCUCCUUCCCGCCCGGGAGGCGCCUCCAGGCCGCCCGCUGCGCUAGUGACGGGCGAUCUCGCUCGGCCGGCCGCUCGGAAAGGUAGUGACGGUACUGGUGCCAUCAGACGGCAGCACGGGCUGCCACGUCACCUUGAGUCGGGUUCCGUUCUCUUUUACCUUCUCCUUGUCUCCACUGCUGGUCUGGCGGUUAUCACUGCUUGUGAAUCAGUCUCUCUCCUGUCGCCCCUUCGCUUCCGUUCUCCCAUCUGCCUCGGCACGGACAGGGCCCGGGGGGGGGGGGUGCGAAUCAGUGAGCUCACUGUGUGCAGACGGCCCAGAUGCUCUCAGGUAAGUACAAUGAAUCACCGAGAUCGUCUUGGUCCAUCUCUUAAUUCUUGGCCGUGAUUGGACGGCUGAGUUUAUCAGUGACUUUGCGGCAGAACAGAAAUCGUUAUACUUCGCAGAACAGGAGGCGCCAGCGGAAGAGAGGACAGAAUGAUCUGUAGGAGGAUUUCGAGCACCUCCCACUCACAUGCCACAUCAGACUGGGGAUUCGUGACCCCAAUCACAUUAUCUCCCGAGCGCCCACUGUUUGCUCCCUGUGGCCCAGCAAAAGGGGACACACGCCCCGAGCCCAGAGCGCACACCCUCACGGGGAGAGCCGGCAGGAAAUAAACUGCCACGUGCACUUUGGGUUAUGCCGGUGCGAGACAAACUGCAGACUCCCAGACGGAAGGGAACUGGGGGAACAUACUUGGGUUUGCUGUGGAAAGUGGAAUUUUCCCUCGGACUGUAAACGAAUUCGCCGCCUUAGUUAAUGCACGCGAAUCCCGCAGGCUGUUCUGUUAGAGGACCUGGAACCCCGCCGGCCCUGACCCGCCCGCAUCCGCCCCAGGAAAGGUGGGGCUCACUGCCGCUGGUGCCGCAGUGCCAGGGCAAAGGGGAGGAACGGAGGCCACCGGGGCCGCGGGGACAGCUGGGGGCAGACGGGUGCGGGCGGAGCUCGGGGCCAACUUCAGGAUGCAUUGUUGUGAAGAUACUCGUGACGCAUCCCAGAACUCAGUGAGAGGCAGCUCACGAGGCUGGAGAUCCCGGACCUCACUGAGGACACCGAUCGCACGACCUGUGCAAAGCUGCACUGUCUCACUCACUGUUAAGUGUGUGUGCUCAGUACUGAACUAGCACAGUGUUCCCAAUCAAAUUGUGCCAUGGCAAACGGAAACACGAACUCAAAAUCAUAUCCGCACCCCCACGUUCACUGCAGCAUCAUUUACGAUAACCGAGGUGUGGGAACAGCCUCGGUGUCCACUGAUGGGUGAGUGGAUAAAGAAGUGGGGUGUGUGCGCGUGUGUGCGUGUGUGCAUGUGCGUACAAUGGGAUGUCACUCAGCCAUAAAAAAGAAAAAAAUCUUGCCAUCUGCAACAACAUGGACGGACCCCGAGGGCAUUACGCUAAGGGAAGGAAGUCAGACGGGAGAAGAGACCACGUGAUCUCACUUACAUGUGGAGUCUGAAAGAGACAAACCAAAACAAAACCAAGAGACACAGACACGGGGAGCAGGUCGGUGAUUGCCAGGUGGGGGUGAGGGGUGGGACAGACGGGUGACGGGGCGAAGGAGGGCGAGAGGUACAGACUUCCAGCUAUAGAAUAAAUAAGUCAGGAGGAUAGGAUGUACGGUCGUGACGACUCCAGUUAGGAACCCCGGGCGGAUAGAAGUUGCUAGGGGCCGAAGUCUUGAAAGUCCUCCUCAGGAGACAAAAACGAACAGUGUGGAGACGGACGGUGACUAGCCUUUGUGGUCCUCAGUGCACAGACAUCGAUUCCUUACGUUAUACAUCAAUUCUACCGCGAUAACAGCAAUAAAAUUAAUGUCAUCGAGAAAUUAUGCAGAAACCAGAUUUUGCUGCACACGGUGCCCUGACAAGUCACCGAGGGAGUAGGAAAUGAUUUUACGAAAAAGCAAACA